Molecule: non-coding RNA, 72 nt
Organism: Myotis brandtii (Brandt's bat)
Lineage: Eukaryota; Metazoa; Chordata; Mammalia; Chiroptera; Vespertilionidae
Source: Rfam
GCUGGUAUGGUUCAGUGGUUGAGCAUCAGCCCAGGAACCAAGAGGUCAUGGGUUCAAUUCCCAGUCCCGGCA